This 1379-nucleotide ribosomal RNA is filed under the name Staphylococcus pseudintermedius. RNAcentral describes it as "bacterial SSU rRNA". Lineage: Bacteria; Bacillati; Bacillota; Bacilli; Caryophanales; Staphylococcaceae. The record is from RNAcentral.
UUUGACGUUAGCGGCGGACGGGUGAGUAACACGUGGGUAACCUACCUAUAAGACUGGAAUAACUCCGGGAAACCGGGGCUAAUGCCGGAUAACAUGUUGAACCGCAUGGUUCUACAGUGAAAGACGGUCUUGCUGUCACUUAUAGAUGGACCCGCGCCGUAUUAGCUAGUUGGUGGGGUAACGGCCUACCAAGGCGACGAUACGUAGCCGACCUGAGAGGGUGAUCGGCCACACUGGAACUGAGACACGGUCCAGACUCCUACGGGAGGCAGCAGUAGGGAAUCUUCCGCAAUGGGCGAAAGCYUGACGGAGCAACGCCGCGUGAGUGAUGAAGGUCUUCGRAUCGUAAAGCUCUGUUGUUAGGGAAGAACAAAAUGUGUAAGUAACUGUGCACAUCUUGACGGUACCUAACCAGAAAGCCACGGCUAACUACGUGCCAGCAGCCGCGGUAAUACGUAGGUGGCAAGCGUUAUCCGGAAUUAUUGGGCGUAAAGCGCGCGUAGGCGGUUUUUUAAGUCUGAUGUGAAAGCCCACGGCUCAACCGUGGAGGGUCAUUGGAAACUGGAAAACUUGAGUGCAGAAGAGGAAAGUGGAAUUCCAUGUGUAGCGGUGAAAUGCGCAGAGAUAUGGAGGAACACCAGUGGCGAAGGCGGCUUUCUGGUCUGCAACUGACGCUGAUGUGCGAAAGCGUGGGGAUCAAACAGGAUUAGAUACCCUGGUAGUCCACGCCGUAAACGAUGAGUGCUAAGUGUUAKGGGGUUUCCGCCCCUUAGUGCUGCAGCUAACGCAUUAAGCACUCCGCCUGGGGAGUACGGUCGCAAGACUGAAACUCAAAGGAAUUGACGGGGACCCGCACAAGCGGUGGAGCAUGGUGGUUUAAUUCGAAGCAACGCGAAGRACCUUACCAAAUCUUGACAUCCUUUGACCGCUCUAGAGGAUAGAGUUUUCCUCUUCCGGAGGACAAAGUGACARGUGGUGCAURGUUGUCGUCAGCUCGKGUCGUGAGAAUGUUGGRUUAAGUCCCGCAACGAGCCGCAACCCUUGAACUUAGUUGSCAUCAUUCAGUUUGGGCCACUCUARGUKGACUGSCGKUGAMMAACCGGAGSAAGGUGUGUUGGGAUUGUGACCCGUYMAAUCUAUCMUUGCCCCUUAUGAUUUGGGCUACACACGUGCUACAAUGGACAAUACAAAGGGCAGCGAAACCGCGAGGUCAAGCAAAUCCCAUAAAGUUGUUCUCAGUUCGGAUUGUAGUCUGCAACUCGACUACAUGAAGCUGGAAUCGCUAGUAAUCGUAGAUCAGCAUGCUACGGUGAAUACGUUCCCGGGUCUUGUACACACCGCCCGUCACACCACGAGAGUUUGUAACACCCGAAGCCGGU